This 73-nucleotide transfer RNA is filed under the name Stegodyphus mimosarum. It matches the Rfam family "tRNA". Rfam says of the family: Transfer RNA (tRNA) molecules are approximately 80 nucleotides in length. Their secondary structure includes four short double-helical elements and three loops (D, anti-codon, and T loops). Lineage: Eukaryota; Metazoa; Arthropoda; Arachnida; Araneae; Eresidae. The record is from Rfam by way of RNAcentral.
GCUUUCGUGGUGUAGUGGUCAGCACGUUCGUCGUGUAACCGAGAGGUCCGUGGUUCAAUUCCCGGCGAGGGCA